Molecule: long non-coding RNA, 5677 nt
Filed under: Manihot esculenta (cassava)
Lineage: Eukaryota; Viridiplantae; Streptophyta; Magnoliopsida; Malpighiales; Euphorbiaceae
Description: long non-coding RNA (MESC_LNC005921)
Source: RNAcentral
GGAUUUCAGCAAUGGUGGAUGGGGUUGAGAAGCAUUUUAUUUGUUGAUGAACUAAUGAAGGUUGUUGUGGCCUGUGAAAAGGAUCAAAGAAGCCAACAGAGAUGGAACUAAUUAAAGAAGGAAAAAUAAAAAUAGAGAAGAGGAGCCCAUAAUCGAAAGCUUCCUCAAUGUUUCUUUUUCUACUGCUCUGCUCUGUUUAAUAGAGUGGAUAUAUAUACAAGUAUAUCUGUUAGGAUUAUAGCUAUUCUAAUGCCUAUUCUAAUGCAAUUUUGACUUUACAAACGUAACCAGAUAAUAUACUUUACACCCCCCUCUCAAGCUGGAGUUGGUGAAAAAUCAACCAAUCCAAGCUUGCACACAAAAGUCUGAAAGAGUUGAGAAGACAAAGGCUUUGUGAACACAUCAGCGAGCUGUAAGGAACUUGGCAAAUAAGGGGUACGAAUAAAACCUGUUUGUAAGUGUGCCCGAACCACAUGACAAUCAAUAUCGAUGUGUUUUGUGCGCUCAUGAAAAACAGGGUUAGCCGCAAUAUGAAUUGCUGCUGUGUUAUCACAAUGUAAUGGAAUUGGAGUAGGAACAAGAAUGUGAAAAUCUUUAAGUAAGGAGAACAGCCACUGAACCUCACAAACAGUUGAAGCCAUGGCACGAUACUCAGAUUCGGCAGAGGACCGGCUGACAGUGGAUUGUUUCUUGGACUUCCAUGACACCAAUGAAGUACCCAAAAAUAUACAAUACCCAGUAAUGGAUCGCCUAGAAUCCGUACAAGAUGCCCAGUCGGCAUCGGAGAAAGCCCGAAGCUUAAGAUCAUUGGAGGCAGGAAGAAAUAACCCCUUGAAACUAGUACCAUGUAAGUAGCGUACUACUGCCAAUACUGCCUUAAAAUGUUGUUGAUGAGGAGUUUGCAUAAAUUGGCUCAACUGUUGAACAUCGUAGCUAAUGUCCGGUCUUGUAAGGGACAAAUAUAACAAUCUGCCAAUUAGAUGCCUAUAACACUCCGGGUCAGGCAAAGGUUUGCCCAUGUCUGAACUGAGUUUGAGCCCUUGAACAUAAGGACUAGAAGUUGGUUUAGCAUCCUGUAAACCUGUGUCAGCAACAAUAUCUUUUAUAAACUUAUGCUGAGUCAACAACAUCCCUGCCGGUGAUCUAGCUAUCUCAAUACCCAAAAAAUACUUGGCAUGCCCAAGAUCUUUAAUAGUGAAUUUGUCAUGCAAAUAAGUCUUUAAUUCAGCAAUCAAAUCAACUGAAGGACUAGAAAUCAGGCAAUCAGCAACAUAAACCAAGACAACUAUGAAUGUAUGACCUUGACUACGAGUAAACAAACAGUGAUCAAAAGAAGAUUGAUGAAAUCCCUUAGUUAAUAAGCUCGCAGUUAAUUCCUUGUUCCAUUGUCUGCCAGCCUGCUUUAACCCAUAAAGAGAACAUUGUAAUUUACAAACUUGCCCUAGUUUGGCCUUCUCAUAUCCCGGAGAUACCUGCAUAUAAAUAUCCUCAUCUAUAGAGCCAUGUAAGUAUGCAUUAUUUAUAUCAAGCAUAUGUACCGGCCAAGCAGAUGCAGUUGCAAUAGUCAACAAAACUCGAACCGUAACAAGCUUUGCAACAGGGGAAAAUGUCUGGUUGUAAUCCAGACCAAGGAGUUGAUUGUACCCCUUAGCAACUAGCCGAGCCUUGUACCUCUCAAUACUGCCAUCUGCAUUAUACUUCACCCUGUAUAUCCACUUACAACCAAUAGGAGUAACAUUAGAAGGCAAAUCAGUAAGCACCCAUGUAUUAUUUUGCUCUAAUGCAGUUAAUUCUUUAUUCAUGGCAAUUACCCAAUUAUUGUUAUUUUUAGCUUGAUUAUAAGUGCAAGGCUCAAGAACUUUAGAUAUCUGUGCAACAAAAGAUAAAUGUGAAGAAGAAAAAUGGAUGUUGGAGUGGGUUUAGGAAUCAGUAACAAAAACAUCUAGCCAAGAUGGAGGUUUCCGUUGUCUUGUACCUCGUCUAAUCACAGACGGCUGAACAUGAGACAAAUCUGUUGUUGGACAUUCAACUAUUUCAGUUAAGAUAUCUGCUGAUGUAUUCAGCUGAGGUUGCUGUGCACUAUUUUCAUCAAAUAUAUGCUGUUGUUCUUGUUGUUGCAUAAAAUCUAUGUCUGAUGUAUGUGGCUGGUCAAGUUGCUGUACAAAAUCAUUGUUGGGUGAAGAGCUAGGAAAGGUAAAGUGGAUGUCUUUGUUUGAAAUACAUUUAGGCAAAGAAAAAUCAGUAACACUUUCGGGUUUUGUAUGAUGAAAGGGAAAUACAGAUUCUGCAAACACAACAUCACGUGAACUGAUAAUGGUCUUUGUAAUCAGGUUGUACAACUUGUAUGCCUUUUGGUGUGGAGCAUAACCAAGCAAAACACAUGAUGACGCUCUUGGAUCAAAUUUCAAUUUGUGAGGUAAGGUAUUGGUAGCAAAACACAAGCAGCCGAUAGUACGAAAAUAACUGUAAUCCACUGGCUGCCCAUGCAACCGCUCAUAAGGUGUUUGCCAGUUCAGGUUUUCAGAAGGUAAUCUGUUGGUAAUAUGGGUGGCGGUUAACAGCAACUCGGACCAGAAUUUGUGGGGUAAUUUGGAUUGAUGCAACAAGGCUCGGGCUAUGUUUACUAAUGACCGGUGUUUCCGUUCAACCACACCAUUCUGCUGUGGAGUAUAAACACAAGAUCGCUGAUGUAAUGUUCCAUUUUCUUGAAAGAAGGAACUACAGGUAGUGUUCAAGAAUUCGGUGUCGUUGUCUGUUCUCACAACUUUAACCCUCUUAGCAUAAUGAGUGAACACAUAAUGGAAAAAAAUUUUCAAGGCUGAAAAUACUUACUCUUUACUUUUCAACAUGUAAGUCCAACAAAACCGACUAAAAUCAUCUACGAUAGUCAACAUAUAAACAGCAUUUGUGAUAGAUUUCAAAUGGUAAGGACCCCAUAAAUCAACAUGAAGGAGAUUAAACACUUCCUUAGUAGAAAUUCGACUAGUUGAAAAAGGAAUUCUAAUUUGUUUUGCAAUAGGACAAACAGAACAAAUCAAGUCUGCAUAGUCACAUUUGGAAACACCAGCAAUGUGCUUUAAUCGUUUAUGAGCAACAUGUCCUAAUCUAGCAUGCCAAAGCAUAGCUAAAUGCCUAUCAUGUUCAUUACAACCAGCAACAAAAAAACAACUUAUUUGCUUAUUAAAAGAAUCUCUAGUCACAAAGUAAAGGUCUUCGAUAACUCUUCCUUCUCCCAAAACCUCCUCAGUCUGUAAAUCCUGGAACAAACAAUGUUCAGGGAAUGAGUGCACUGACAAAUGACAGGUCCGGGUGUGUAAGCUAACGGAUAACAAGUUGCAGCUAAAAGAGGGAACGUACAGGACAUUGUACAAAAUUAUCCUAUCAUUCAAUUUGAUAUUUCCUAUAUGUGUGACCUUUCUGAUGGUUUUAUCGGGUAAACGGAUUGUUUUGGGUGGAUUUACUGAACAACUUGAUCAAAAAAGGACAAUUUAGGUGUGAUAUGGUCAGUUGCACCAGAAUCAAUUAUCCAGUUAUCCUUACAAUUAAAAUCAAUACCAAUAAUAACAGAAUUGAGUAAUGUACCUGCGAAAUUCACGUUGCGAACGUCCUCUGCAACAGGAUUAGGAAAUCCUCCUUUGGCUCGUAGGAACUUUUGAAACUCCUGCUGAAUAUAGUCUAUCACUGCGUUGCCUUGAACAUCACUACUUUUUUGACUCAGAACAUGCUGCUGCAGUGGAGAAUCUGAGACGGCAACUUGUGCAACAUUAUUUGCACUAUAAUAUUUUCUCACAUCGACUUCUCUUUUCUUCUGCAUUUCGAUAAACCAGCUGGGAUACCCAUUAAUCUGAAAACAAUCUUCUAUAGUAUGCCCCCCAAUUUUGCACUUGGUGCAAUACUCCUUUUUCUUAUCCUCUUUCCUGGGAUAAGAACUGUAUCGGUUAUUAUUCCUGGAACUGCUGGUAUUAUUUGAGUAAUUGUUGUUACCCCUUCGUGCCAUCAUAACAACAGCAGUCUCAGUGGAUGUGGCAUUGCUGGUUUGCACUUCUCUCUGCUUUUCUACGCUCAUAACCAUAGAAUAAGCCUUAUUAAUCGAAGGUAGAGGACUCUGCAAUAACACCUGAUUCUUCACAUUAUCAUAUUCAUCACCUAAACCCAUCAGAAACUGCAUAAGCCGUCUAUUAUUGUCAUAAUCUGAAAUCGCAGUACCAGUCUCACAGCAAACUGGUAAAGGGGCUAAGCACAAUAACUCAUCCCACUUCUUCUUGAGCUUUGUAUAAUACUCAGUCACAAAUUCGUCUCCUUGUUUAUAACCAGCAAUGUCUCUCUCAAUUUGGUAGAUCAUAGGACCAUUACUUUCACCAUAACGCUGUUUGAGUUCAUCCCAAAGGGCUUUUGCACUUUUUAAAAAAACGAAAGCAUCAGAGAUGUCUUUCGACAUAGCAUUGAGUAACUAAGAUACAACCAUGCUGUCCGCAGUUGCCCAUUUCUCAUAAUCAUCGGAAUCAGGUUCUGGGGCUUUGAUUGUCCCAUUCACAAACCCUAAUUUUUUCUUAGCCCUUAAGGCUAUUUGCACAGCUCUGCUCCAGGAGAUGUAAUUCGGGCCUUUCAAAGGAACACUGACAAGGCUAAAUCCGGGGGCUUCAGAACUGUGAAUUUGAUAUGGAUCGGUCUCAUUGCUUUUGGUGGUAAUAGCAGCGAGAAUCUUCGCCAAAUCAUCUGGAGACAUCAUUGUCUCAAAUCUCAACAAAUCUCUCAAGGAGAUAUAAUUAAUUGAAUACAAGAGUGAUUGGCUUUGAUACCAUGAAAAGGAUCAAAGAAGCCAACAGAGAUGGAACUAAUUAAAGAAGGAAAAAUAAAAAUAGAGAAGAGGAGCCCAUAAUCGAAAGCUUCCCCAAUAUUUCUUUUUCUACUGCUCUGCUCUGUUUAAUAGAGUGGAUAUAUAUACAAGUAUAUUUGUUAGGAUUAUAGCUAUUCUAAUGCCUAUUCUAACGAAAUUUUGACUUUACAAAUGUAACCGGAUAAUAUACUUUACAGCCUGUAAUCUGAUUUGGGAUAGUAGGAACAAAUUAUUUCUUUUCGAGUAAAGCUACUGGAAGUUUCAGCUUUGCUUCAUCAGGUUCGUUUUCUUGUUACUGAGUUCUUAGCGACGUCAACAUGCAUGAUAUUCUAACUGCUUCUUCGUCCACUUCUCGAGCUCUUCUACGUUGGACACCUCCAGAGUUUGUCUUUGUCAAACUUAAUGCUGAUGCCGGUUUGUGCUCAACCUCAGGUUGUUUUAGUUAUGGAGCUGUUUUCUGUGGGCACGAUGGUCAGAUCCUUGCACCUGCUAUGAAGUGUAUUAGGGAUACUUAGGAGGAUCCAGUGGUUGUUGAGGCUCAGGCUAUGCCUUUUGCUCUUCAGCUAACUCUUGAUCUUAGCUUUUCUCAUUUGGUUGUUGAAUUUGAUAGUUUACAAGUCAUUGAUUUAUUGCACAAAAUGGAAUGUCCUUCUUCUUCCCUAGGUGCCAGCAUAAGAGAUUGCUUAAUGCUUGUUGGGUCUUCGCAAGAGAGUAGGUGGUCACAUAUUAAACGUGAUGGUAAUUCUGUUGCACAUUCUUUAGCAGCUCUUGCGCAUUUUGAAGAUGGUGUUCAGAUAUGGGUGGAAGCCUACUCUGCUCCAAUUAAAUCUUAUGUACCUG